Molecule: ribosomal RNA, 631 nt
Filed under: Talaromyces marneffei
Lineage: Eukaryota; Fungi; Ascomycota; Eurotiomycetes; Eurotiales; Trichocomaceae
Description: SSU rRNA
Rfam family: Eukaryotic small subunit ribosomal RNA
Source: RNAcentral
AUCUAAAUCCCUUAACGAGGAACAAUUGGAGGGCAAGUCUGGUGCCAGCAGCCGCGGUAAUUCCAGCUCCAAUAGCGUAUAUUAAAGUUGUUGCAGUUAAAAAGCUCGUAGUUGAACCUUGGGCCCGUCCUGCCGGUCCGCCUCACCGCGAGUACUGGUCCGGAUGGGCCUUUCUUUCUGGGGAAUCCCAUGGCCUUCACUGGCUGUGGCGGGGAACCAGGACUUUUACUGUGAAAAAAUUAGAGUGUUCAAAGCAGGCCUUUGCUCGGAUACAUUAGCAUGGAAUAAUAGAAUAGGACGUGCGGUUCUAUUUUGUUGGUUUCUAGGACCGCCGUAAUGAUUAAUAGGGAUAGUCGGGGGCGUCAGUAUUCAGCUGUCAGAGGUGAAAUUCUUGGAUUUGCUGAAGACUAACUACUGCGAAAGCAUUCGCCAAGGAUGUUUUCAUUAAUCAGGGAACGAAAGUUAGGGGAUCGAAGACGAUCAGAUACCGUCGUAGUCUUAACCAUAAACUAUGCCGACUAGGGAUCGGGCGGGGUUUCUAUGAUGACCCGCUCGGCACCUUACGAGAAAUCAAAUUUUUGGGUUCUGGGGGGAGUAUGGUCGCAAGGCUGAAACUUAAAGAAAUUGACGG